Molecule: ribosomal RNA, 640 nt
Filed under: uncultured bacterium
Lineage: Bacteria
Description: bacterial SSU rRNA
Rfam family: Bacterial small subunit ribosomal RNA
Source: RNAcentral
GAAAGAUUCAUCGGAAGAGGAUGGGCAUGCGGCGCAUUAGCUAGACGGCGGGGUAACGGCCCACCGUGGCGACGAUGCGUAGGGGUUCUGAGAGGAAGGUCCCCCACACUGGUACUGAGACACGGACCAGACUCCUACGGGAGGCAGCAGUGAGGAAUAUUGGUCAAUGGGAGAGAUCCUGAACCAGCCAAGCCGCGUGAGGGAAGACGGCCCUAUGGGUUGUAAACCUCUUUUGUCGGAGAACAAAACCCGGGACGUGUCCCGGACUGCGUGUAUCCGAAGAAAAAGCAUCGGCUAACUCCGUGCCAGCAGCCGCGGUAAUACGGAGGAUGCGAGCGUUAUCCGGAUUUAUUGGGUUUAAAGGGUGCGUAGGCGGUCCGUUAAGUCAGCGGUAAAAUUGCGGGGCUCAACCCCGUCGAGCCGUUGAAACUGGCAGACUUGAGUUGGCGAGAAGUACGCGGAAUGCGCGGUGUAGCGGUGAAAUGCAUAGAUAUCGCGCAGAACUCCGAUUGCGAAGGCAGCGUACCGGCGCCACACUGACGCUGAGGCACGAAAGCGUGGGGAUCGAACAGGAUUAGAUACCCUGGUAGUCCACGCAGUAAACGAUGAAUGCUGGUUGUCCGGGUCGAAUGAGACCUGG